This 700-nucleotide ribosomal RNA is filed under the name uncultured beta proteobacterium. RNAcentral describes it as "bacterial SSU rRNA". It matches the Rfam family "Bacterial small subunit ribosomal RNA", at positions 84 to 780 of the family's 1533-position model. The record is from RNAcentral. Lineage: Bacteria; Pseudomonadati; Pseudomonadota; Betaproteobacteria.
ACCCCUUGAGAGUGGCGAACGGGUGAGUAAUAUAUCGGAACGUGCCCAGUCGUGGGGGAUAACGUAGCGAAAGUUACGCUAAUACCGCAUACGAUCUACGGAUGAAAGCGGGGGAUCGCAAGACCUCGCGCGAUUGGAGCGGCCGAUAUCAGAUUAGGUAGUUGGUGGGGUAAAGGCUCACCAAGCCAACGAUCUGUAGCUGGUCUGAGAGGACGACCAGCCACACUGGAACUGAGACACGGUCCAGACUCCUACGGGAGGCAGCAGUGGGGAAUUUUGGACAAUGGACGCAAGUCUGAUCCAGCCAUUCCGCGUGCAGGAUGAAGGCCCUCGGGUUGUAAACUGCUUUUGUACGGAACGAAAAGGUUUCUCUUAAUACGAGGAGCUCAUGACGGUACCGUAAGAAUAAGCACCGGCUAACUACGUGCCAGCAGCCGCGGUAAUACGUAGGGUGCAAGCGUUAAUCGGAAUUACUGGGCGUAAAGCGUGCGCAGGCGGUUAUGUAAGACAGAGGUGAAAUCCCCGGGCUCAACCUGGGAACUGCCUUUGUGACUGCAUAGCUAGAGUACGGUAGAGGGGGAUGGAAUUCCGCGUGUAGCAGUGAAAUGCGUAGAUAUGCGGAGGAACACCGAUGGCGAAGGCAAUCCCCUGGACCUGUACUGACGCUCAUGCACGAAAGCGUGGGGAGCAAACAGGAUUA